AACGAACGCUGGCGGCAGGCCUAACACAUGCAAGUCGAACGAACCUUCGGGUUAGUGGCGCACGGGUGAGUAACACGUGGGAAUCUACCUUUGAGUUGGGAAUAACCAUUGGAAACGAUGGCUAAUACCCAAUACGUCCUUCGGAGAAAGAUUUAUCGCUCAGAGAUGAGCCCGCGUCCAAUUAGCUAGUUGGUGAGGUAAGAGCUCACCAAGGCGACGAUUGGUAGCUGUUCUGAGAGGAAGAUCAGCCACACUGGUACUGAGACACGGACCAGACUCCUACGGGAGGCAGCAGUGGGGAAUAUUGGACAAUGGGCGAAAGCCUGAUCCAGCCAUGCCGCGUGAAUGAUGAAGGCCUUAGGGUUGUAAAGUUCUUUCAACGGUGAAGAUGAUGACGGUAGCCGUAGAAGAAGCCCCGGCUAACUCCGUGCCAGCAGCCGCGGUAA
This 446-nucleotide ribosomal RNA is filed under the name uncultured bacterium. RNAcentral describes it as "bacterial SSU rRNA". It matches the Rfam family "Bacterial small subunit ribosomal RNA", at positions 29 to 523 of the family's 1533-position model. The record is from RNAcentral.